AUCACAGGCCUUCUGCUGUUACCCCUAGGCGGAGCUUGGUCGAUGAACCCAUGGUUCCCCCUGUCCCCAAAAGGCCCUCCCAUCGGCCCAAAAGGGCUAGGUCCAAACAUGUCAUGCUCACCCAUCAUCUGACCCCCAAACGGGCUAGGUCCAAACAUGCCACCCAUCAUCUGACCCCCAAACGGACGGGUAAAGAAUGGAUCAUCAAAUGGAUCCCUCCCCCCAAAGAAGCCAGAAAUCAAGCUCCUGUGGGAACCAAACCCAGCAAAUGGAUCCCUGCCCCUGAAGACGUCAUCCCUCCUGUUCUGCCCUCUAUCCAUUUCGCAGCAAUUAGGUGGGCUCUGCAAGCUGAAACGGUUAUGGUAGUAGUGAGUUACUCGCAACAAUUUAUCACACAGUAAGCAUCAUAUAAUGCAAAAUUUCUCAAGCAAGCAUCCUUCCAUUCCUUCCCCCAAACAAAGCUAUUCAACUCAAUUUCAAUCAUGAGAAGGUAUGAAACAAUUGCACUGAGCAUUACCAUCGCUAAAUGGGUUUAAUAAAGAAAUAAAUUUACGCCCAUACGGGUAUCUAGAUUCUAGACACCCUCCCUCCCUUCUUUCUUCCUAAGAAAAGACCUAACCCAUCGAUUGUUCCAGAAGAGCUAAUACACCAUCGACAUGCAUGCACAUUCCUUGCUAAUAUAGAACACCACCACCAAUCCGACGAGCAAGGUAUUCAAACCGAAAUGCGCAACAAGCACCAGAGACUUCACAACGAACGCUCCACCGAUCCCUAACUGCCUAGCAGGAAAUUAACCGAAGAGUUUAUCCCUGCCGUCGUUACCUGAAGGCGGAAGGCCCUCCUGGAGCGCGCGCGCAAGGGGACGGCCGUCUAAGGGAGGGAUCGCCGGAGGAACUCCGGAGCCUGGUGCCCCGGGACGGCUUUUUUAUUUUGGGUUGGUGAAUGAAUGGGGGUGGUCGGAUUGGGGGAGAGACGAGACGAGGAAAUCCGUUCGGCGCUGUGCGUGUGGUGUCUGGAAUUUGCCUUCUCCCGAACGUUCGGGUCGUGGAGGCUCGCGAACCGUCCACACUGGACGUGCUGGGAAGAAAUUGCUACUCAGACUGUCUCCAACAAAUUGUCGUUUGGGUAGCGCUACAGGUAAAAGAUUCCAUACCUAUUUUUAGUCUUCUCCAACAACAAGACCUAAAAGACAACACUCUCUGCAAAUGGUCUCGAAGAGAGAAUACCCAAAUUUGGGUUAUGCCUCUCCUGAUACUCAAAAUAGGUCUUCUGUAUGGAUACUCUGUUGGAGGCUAUAGGUAUUGUGUUGGAAACCUAUUUUGGAUUUAGGUUCCCAAAUGGCUCUUCUAUUGGAGAUAGCCUCAGGGCUCACCAGCUCAGGCACUCAGCUCAGCUCUUCGGCUGUAUGUCUUUUUUUAAUCCUUUUUAAAAGAAAUUUUGAAACCAAUCCGAACUGCCUUCUAUCAGGCAGUCGAGAAGUUAAAUAAUUUUACAUUCUAAUCAAAAUAUUUAUAAGGUAUUAUUAUUUAUAGUAAAUGUAUUUAAUGAUGCAAAUGCUGAUAUUUUUCUAAAUCUAAUUAAACUUUAAAUUAUUUGAAUCUAUGGUAAAUGAGAGUUUUUUUUUAACUAUCCUGCAAAAUUCAAAUAUUAAACAAAAUUUUGUGGAAGGAGAAAAGGAAACGAGAAAUUGAUAUAUAAAUUGUCACGGAUACAACUGUGCAUCUCGGGUCCAUAAUCAUAACUAUUCAAGUGAUGGUUUUUCCUUUUUUUCUCAUUUAUAAAAUUUUGUUUACCCUCAAAUCUAUCUCUUUAUAAAGGCCUUGUUUAGUUCCCAAGAAAUUUUGCAAAACUUUUCAGAUUCCUCGUCACAUUAAAUCUUUAGACACAUGUAUGAAGUAUUAAAUAUAGACAAAAAUAAAAACUAAUUACACAGUUUGGUCAAAAUUGACGAGACGAAUCUUUUGGGCCUAGUUAAUCCAUGAUUAGACAAUAUUUGUCAAAUACAAACGAAAAAGCUACAAUAUCGAUUUUGCAAAAUAUUUUGAAACUAAACAAAGCCAAAAGCAAAAAUCUCACUUAUCUUUCAGUCUUUUUCUCUGACUACACUUAUCUUUCAAUAUUCACACGCAAAUCAUCCACAUUGUGUACUCCACUAAGUGCCACAUCAUCCCCAGAUAAUCUUCCACUAAAUCCAACUAGUAUAGUGCCCAUGCUAACGCCAUGGCUUCAUUUUAAGGGUGCACUUGAAAACAACCAGGUAACAACAUUUUUUGAUAGUUUAAGUCACACAUGAUUGUUUAUGACCAUAUAUAUUAUCCAGAAAACACUUAAGCGUCUAAACACAACAUAUAUAGUCCAUCAAUUAAAGUUUAGCUAAAUCAAAUUAUUUUACACUGGAAGUCUAAUGACAAAGUGCAUCAGACACGUCAGGGCAUUAAGCCAUGCCAAAGCAAUUGGACUUUCACUAAAAGAAGAUAUGUUUUAGCUUUGCAUAACAAAACAUGAGAAAGAAGAGAGGGCAUUCUUUUUGUGAUAUAUAACUGCAGAUGCCAUUUUUAAACGUAUCAGGUCGUAUGUCCGAGGAAUGCUGAGAAGGCUUUGCACCUGUCAACAGUGGAAGGUCGCAAAUUACACAAGGUCAAUUCACACGCAUCAGCUCCUCAUUUGUUAAUGAAUACCAGAAGCAUAGGACAUGCAUAAAAUAAAAUUUAAAGCAAAAAACUAAAGAACACAAGUCUAGAAUUUAUAUUGACACAAAUAAAAUUAAAUAAAACAUGGAGCACCAAAAAUAAAAUUAUUUGAGUAUACCCAACGUUAAUCAACAAUUUGGAACGUCUUUAUAAACAUUAUUCUUGGUGUUGUUCUCCCGUGGAAUAUAUGGUUUAGUCAAACUCUUGAUCUUGACACACCCCUCGACAAUGCAACGUACCUAUUUGAUGUAAUAAAUUUUUAUAAUUUUUUUUAUAAUUUUGGUCAAACUUUAAUACUUGACUCUCCAAGAUUCUUGGAAUAACUUAUAAUUUGGAAUUGAGGGAGUAUCUUGCAAACCUGAAAUUCAAAUUGACAUUUAUUUUCAGAAAUAGCAGCAGGAUAUAUGUAGGAGUAUUAAUGAAUUAAAAGCAUAAUUAACAACCUCUACAGGAAGAUAAAUUGGCUUCUGCUCACUGCCAACAACCCAACACCGAUGCAUGGGAGAGGUUAAAACCUAAUAUUUUAAGGAUCUAAGAAACAUUUAAUUAGAAGUGCUGAUUUUUUUGAAUGAAAGAUUAGAAGUGCUGAUUGCAGAAUUCUGUGCCUUACCAUAAUCAGGUUGAGUCAAGUUUGUAUCCACGACAUCUAUCUUUUGGAUGUUCUGAACAAAGUCAUUCAGCAGCAGAGAUAAAACAAAAACUGAUGAGAACACAUAUACAAUAGAAAAAUAACAGCACGUUACAAGCUCUAAUAAGAUGCAAUCUAAACGUGGAAUAGAAUUACCAUGCAAAGAACAUCCAGCAGGCCAAGAACAUCCGCCAGUCCUUGGCGCCUCCUCCCAUGCUUCCUACGGCCGGAGUGGGAUCGUCGCAGCAGGAGGAGUCUCGAACUCUCGAUGCGCAGCGCUGGGGCAGAGAGGGUGGACGUAUGCCAAGGCAAACAGUGAUCUCGGUGGCGGACGUCGGACAUCGCGUAGCCGAUAGGGGCGGGAUCGGUUGUACACUGGCCGGACUGGACAACGGCUAAGGUGGAGAGGGCGAACGACGAUCUCACUCAUUGGACUGCACGACGGUUGUGGGACGACGAUCUCGCUGGAUUGCACGGUGGCUGCACCGGUGAUCUCGUUGGCGCAAGGCAGAGGGCGGACGGUGAUCUUGUUGAACUGCAUGGCGGCUGUAGGCACGGCCGGCUGCACUGCCCCAGGUCAGUAGGAGAUGGCGAUCUCGCUAGCGGACUGCGGACGUUGCGUAGCCGAGGCAGACCACGAUUUGGCUGAUCUCGCGCGGAUGUCGCGCGUGGGCCGAGAUGUGGGUUCCCUUGUGAGAGGCAGAUGGUUGGGCGACGACGAGGACCAUACACGCGAUUCUGAUCGUCGGAUUUGAGUGAGUAAGGAGAGAGAAAGAUAAGAAGCAAUCUGAGUGGUUCAUUUGUACGUGGUUGUUUCUGUGGGUACAUUUUGUUUGGUGAGUGGAGGAGAGUUAUCUCAGCGGGGAAGAUUUUUUUGUGUAGCCUUGGCAAUGUUUAUGUUGGUGCAUUAGUAGGGUAGAUUAUUAUUUUUAGUCAGUCAACACACAAGGCAUUCACAUUGUACUAUUUAUUUGUCUAUCAUUUCUUCUACACUUUGUUUAGAUACAUCCAAAAACCCAAAACUUUACAAGAUUCUCCGUCACAUCGAAUCUUGCGGCACAUGCAUGAAGUAUUAAAUAUAGAUAAAAAGAAUAACUAAUUGCACAGUUUACCUGUAAAUCAUGAGACGAAUCUUUUAAGCCUAGUUACUCCAUAAUUAGACAAUGUUUGUCAAAUAAAAACAAAAAUGCUACAGUGUCAAAAUCUAAAAAAAAUUUACAUCUAAACAAGGCCUUAGAUCUAUUUUUCUAUAAAUGUCUUAUUUGAAAGCCCUACCACAACAUGUGAGGAAUUAUUCUAAUCUAUCUAUAUCUCUUAUAAAGAUAAACUCCACUAGCUAUUUCUCUUAUCAUAGCACAUUCAAUUAUCUCAACAUGCAAAGUAUCCACAUCAGCAUCCACUAACACAUUCAAUUAACACAUACCAUUAUGUCUUCAUUCAAGCUAUUCGCAUUAGCAAACGAUAUCAUUUAUUAACAUAUAUUGCUUCAUUACCAACACUAUACAUAUAAAUUCUUAGCGAUUAACAUUCUAACAUAUUUAUAUUCCUUCUUCAUAUCCGCGACAACCAUGGGGAAUCCUCCUAGUUUUGUAUGAUGGUAAAUCCAGAUACGUUGAUUUUUAUAUGUUGACCCACUGGGACCAUCUAAACCUCUUGUAGGCUCAGAGGAUUCUGACUUUGAAAUAUUUAACCUAAUAUUGUUAAAUUCACUCUCACAAAAUAAUGGUCUAAUAAAUAACUUGUCGAUUAUAUAUAUUUUUUACAAAAUGUCAUUACAAAUUGUAAAAAGAAACUAAAAAUAUGACAAAAAAACCAUUCAUUCCAUAUGACAGGAAGGUCUGUUUCACAAUAAAUUUGCUAUCUCACACUUUGAGAAAUUAACUAAAUUUAAGCUUGAUUAAAUUUAAAAGAAGUAAUAUUAAUAUUUGUAUAUGUAUUUACUGGAAUAAGUAUCGUUCUUAUUUCUUGAGGAGUUAAAUUUUUUCAACUUAGUCAAAUAUAUACAAAGAAAUAUUAAUAUAGUAUUAGAUUAGAUAGAUCGUUGAAAUAUUUUCAUAAUAAACUUAUUCCAUGAUACAAAUGUUGCUAGUAUUUUCUAAAAAACACUAGUCAAUUUUAAAAGAGUUUGACCAACAUGAAUACCAUUGCAACACUUAUCUUGGAACAAAGGGAGUAUAACACAAUUAGUCUAGUGACUUCUACUAUUCCAUAUGUUGCAACACUUAUUUGACCAGAACGGAUGAUUUGUAAGUUUAUGGACCUCGAUGAACAGCUGCAGGAUCUAAAAGAGUGAUUAAAAAUCUAGGAACUAGAAUAACAUAGACAAGAAUUUGAAUACUCGGUUUAUAAGUUCAAGGAUAGGGAUGACAUAGCCGAAUAAGUUUAAGGACUGCCAGUGCACUUUACUCUAUUUUAUAUAUUUGAAUUUUUACAAAAUGUGUAUUUACUUUUGAUGAUGUCGAGAGAGUACUUGGCCUUGUUUAGUUCUCAAAAUUUUUUGCAAAAUUUUUCAUAUUCUCCAUCACAUCAAAUCUUACGAUAUAUGCAUGGAGCACUAAAUAUAAAUAAAAUAAAUAACUAAUUACAUAGUUUAUCUGUAAUUUACGAGACGAAUCUUUUAAGCCUAGUUAGUCCAUAAUUGGACAAUAUUUGUCAAAUACAAACGAAAGUGCUAGUGUUCAUGUUUUGCAAAAUUUUUUGGAAGUGUUCACCCAAAAAACUCAAAACUUUUCAAGAUUUCCCAUCACAUCGAAUCUUGCGACACAUAUAUAUAGCAUUAUAUAUAGAUAAAAAUAAAACUAAUUAUACAGUUUGUCUCGCGAGAUGUAUUUUUUAAGCCUAGUUACUUUAUAAUUGAACAAUAUUUGUCAAAUAAAAACGAAAGUACUACCGUGUCGUUUUUCCAAAAUUUUUUGGAACAAGGCCUACUAUUUUUGGGCCUUGUUUAGUUCCCAAAAAACUUUGCAAAAUUUUUCAGAUUCUUCGUCACAUCGAAUCUUUAGACGCAUGCAUGGAGUAUUAAUAUAGACAAAAAUAAAAAUUAAUUACACGGUUUGGUUGGAAUUGAUGAGAUGAAACUUUUAAGUCUAGUUAGUUUGUAAUUAAAUAAUAUUUGUCAAAUACAAACGAAACGUGGAACAAAUUUUUUUGAAGCCUACUCGCAUGGCAUGGUGCGCACAAGCGGCAGCUCCGGUCGGUCGUCUGGAAGAGGAAGGGAUUCUUUCUCGCCACUCGCCAGCGAAGACGACAAAAUUCACUUUCUCGGUUUCCCCCAACAGGCCAACACUACCGUCUUCUUCCUCGCACUGCCUUCGCCUCGGAGCGCUCCGCCUCUGCCAUCUCCGUGCUCCGAGCCCACUUCGACUCUUCGAGCUCCACUUGCUCGAUCUGUUUCAUCUUUGAUUUGAGUCCGUCACCCCCAUUCUAGAUUCUAGCUCCUCUCCGCCCCGUCUUAACCGUCUAGAUCUAGGCGGGGUGGUUGCAGUCCAAGUUCCGAUGUCAGAAUGGGCAGAAUCCUGUGUCUCGGAGGUCGGAUGCCGCACACUGGUGGAGCUUGGGUACAUGCCGGAGAAGCCACUGAUUGGAUGGCGCCCGGCGUUCGGCGACGCGGUCCCGAAGCCGCGCACCGGUGAGACCGUGGUGUUCGGGCCCUUCUUCGAGCGUGGGUUCUCGGUGCCGACGCACGCGUUCUUCCGCCGCCUCCUCGAUUACUACGGCUUGCAGCUUCACCACUUGAACCCUAACGGUAUACUCCACAUCUCAAUCUUCAUCACUUUGUGCGAGGCGUAUCUGGGAAUCGAGCCGCACUUGGGUAUGUGGAAAUGGCUAUAUACCAUGUCAAGCCAGAAAGCAAGCUAGACCCCAACAACACCAUUGGAGCAGCCGGCAUCCAGCUUCGUUCGAGGACGCCAUACGUCUCCAUCCCACAGCGGACAUCCAACAAGGGAUGGCACUCGAGGUGGUUUUACUGCCGGAACGAGAAGCCAUCACUGCCUGACUUCGUUGCUGACCAUUGCCCUGUUAAGCUGCCGUCGUGGAGUAACCCCCCAUCUGCCGACGAGAUGGCCGAGGUGGAGAAGAUCAUCCCACACCUCAAUGAAUUGAUCCAAGAUGGCCUCAACGGAGCCGAUUUGAUCACUACCUUCUUGUCUCGUUGGAUCCAACCGAUCAAGAAGAGGUGCCAUCGGAUGUCUGAAUUCACUGGUAAUUCUGACCCCACACGGGAGUCGCCGGUGAAGUUGCCUGAAGAUGAAAUUUUUUCGCGGGCGGCCCAUCUUGUGUCAACUGAUACUAAGUUUCGCACCCAUGGCAAGCCAGUGAAACAUGUCAGCGUUCCUUUUCUCUUGAGUUUUUCUUAGAACUUAUAGAUAAGCUGUUGAAUCAUUAAUGCUAAUUGAUUGAUGCUCUUGUUACAGGACCUGAGCAAGUAUCUUUCAGUGACUCUAGAGGAAGACAAAGAGGGAGCCAUGCCACAGACGACAGACACCGCCACCCUUGUCAGCCAGUCCCCUCUGAAGAACCUGAGGAUCCCUGGUGCUGAAUCCUCUGGGGAGUCUCUCCAACAGAAGGCCAAGGAAGUUGUGGCCUGCUCCUGUAAUGAGCUGGCACAACAGAAAGAGUCCGACAACAGUGCGCCAAUUGCCCAGCCGCUGUCUGAUGAUGAGGAUACGGAGACCCUGUCCCACAGGAAGAAGAGAAAGUUCACUGAGGCCCUCGCUUGCUCCACUGUAGACAUCAGGUCUGUGCAUGUGUCGCUUCCACGGGCAGUCUCUCUGCCACUUCAAUCGGAGCCAUGUCCACUCCGAUCGUCGUCGGCACGUCAUGCUUCUCCUACCACUACAACGCUGCCCACCUUGACUACUCCCAAGUCAAUUAAGAUGACACAUGUGCCUUGCCGACCUCUCCCGCAUGACAACCUGGGGUCUAGUCAGCAGUCGGAUGGGUUCGCUACGGACUCUGUUGAAGUGGAGGGAGAGGUACAUGGGAAGAAGGCCGAGGAGGAGCCAGGGAUGCUCUAUGUCCAGAUGAAGGAUGCAGAGAGCAAGCUGCUAUGGGAGAUCGAUGAUGAGAAGGAGCACACCGAGGUCGAGUAGGAGAAGGUCAAGGAGACUGCAACGUCCUUCAUGACUAGACUGCCAUAGAUCACUCUCAGCCUCAAGCGUGCCUCCGAGAUGAUAGUUAAAUUGAAGCAGGAGAACAGGGAUCUAGAAGUUAAAUUGAAGCAGGAAAACAAGGAUCUGAAAGUUAAUUGAAGCAGGAGAACAGGGAGGUGGAAGUCAAAUUGAAGCAGGAGAACAAGGAGCUGGAAGUCAAAUUGAAGCAGGAGAACAAGGAGCUAGAAGUUAAACUGAAGCAGGAGAACGAGGUUGCUUGAGGUAAAUUUCUUCUGACCCCCGGAGUUGUUUUUAAUUUGGAUGUGUUAUGGGCUGUAACCUGGUCCGAUUCUUGUAGCUUUUGAGAAGAAGGCCAGCGAUCUGUCUAAGGAGCUUGACAUUGUGCGCACGGAUCGCGAUUCCCUCAGCCGGGGGUUCCAGGAUGCCAGGAAGAAAGCUACUGGUAAGCCCGUGACUUAUUCUCAGCACAUUGCUUUAUUUAUCAUCUUGACCGAUGGAGCAUGAGCUAUUUGUGCGAUUACAGACUUGUGUGAUGCCUUUGAUGCUAUUCAUGCUGCCUGUGACAUAUUCUCGAUUGACAAUCCGAGCCCGGGACGGUGUUGAGGCUGUCACCGAGUGACUGGGUAACUUCCCUGAGCUGAUUGAAGAAGCAGCAGCAGCUGAUGGGGCACCGGCGCUUCAGGAUGCAGUUAGUGCUUGCAACAGGAGGUUGACGGCCUUAUGGUGCAGUUGCACUUGCAGGCAAGGCCGGAAGGCAGAACUUUUGGAAACUAGGUCUGUCUGUCUUAAUCGUGGUCAAUGCACCAGUAAUAUAUUCUCUGUUGAAGUACUCAGGAGAUAGAGUAAGAGUUAAUUAUGUAUAUAUUUAGGGCCUUUUUGGAUCCACUAGUUAAUAGCUCAUAGCUAAUAUUAGCUACAAACUAUUAGCUGGUUUGGCCCAAGUAGUAAGAUAGCUGUCAGUUGGGUAGGUAGACUAUUAGCUGGACCUGUUUGAUCCUAAAGAGCUGAUUAUUAGUUGCUAACUAAUAUAUGAAUGCAAACAUGCGUUUUCAUGUUUCAGUUCUUUGAUCUUCAGUUUUUUUCUAUGUUUUUAUGGACUUUGUGCAAUUGUGCUUCCUGUGUUUUUAUGGACUUUGUGCGUACCCUAAAUUCUUGGGACCGUCUUCAGAUAGUCUCACUGUAAUCUCGAAGUACUGUCAUGGAUCUAAGGAUGGUGAAGGUCCCCGAGUGACCUGUUAUAGUUGCGACUUGGGAGCAAGCAAAGGAAGCUGAGUGCCAAUAGGGUUAACAAUGGGGGCCAUAAUUCGUUCGCUUGUCUUAUAAGCCGUACUUUUCUGUCAGCCAACAAUAUUUUUCUUUCACGAUAAAUCAGCGAACAGUACUUUCAGCCAUAGUUUUUCAGACCAGCGAAUCCAUAUUUUGUUUUAGAUUCAUGCAAUACGGUUUUUUUUACAUAUAUCAUAUAAACAUCAAUUUUAGACUAAACAUUUUUGGAAACCGUCCUAAUGACUUUUCUAUUGAUAUUUUUGUCAACAAGAACAUAAAAAACAAACAAUGGUGUUCACAUACUGCGUAUUUCUUAUUUGACAUCCAGAUAUGUCAGCUCACUUCCUCAAUUCAAAAAAAAAUAAAGAAUACGUGCAAAAACAAACCUGUUACAUAUACUUCGAACCAAUUAAUUAAUUUAGUACUGAAAGACAGGGAGCCAGAAGGGAAUGUACAUUAUACUGAGGCCCUGUUUAGAUACAGCCAAAAACCCAAAACUUUACAAGAUUUCUCAUCACAUCGAAUCUUGCGGCACAUGCAUUGAACAUUAAAUAUAGAUAAAAAUAAAAACUAAUUACAUAGUUUGUCUGUAAAUCGCGAGACGAAUCUUUUAAGCCUAGUUACUCAAUGAUUGGACAAUGUCUGUCAAAUAAAAACGAAAAUGCUACAGUGUCAAAAUCCAAAAAAAUUUUGGAUCUAAACAAGCCCUGAGUACAAAGCGACCCAAACAACUACUCCCUUCAGGUUACUUGGACAUCAGGUUGUUUCCUUGAAACGAACUUGGACCUGAACCUUGCAGAGUUGCAGCUUCCACAAACCAGCUGUUUAUUUAUUGGCCUUGUUUAUUAGUGAAAACUUUUAAGUUUGGCUACUGUAGUAUUUUCAUUUAUAUUUAAUAAUUAUUGUCCAAUCAUAAACUAACUAGGGUUAAAGGAUUGUCUUGCAAAUUAGUUAUUUUUUAUCUAUAUUUAAUGUUCCAUAUAUGCGUCUAAAAUUUCAAUGUGACGAAAAAUUUAAAUUUUUUUUGGGAUUUUAAGUGAACUAAACAAGGCCUGGCAUGGACUGUCUUCAGGAUUUGGCAUGGACAAUUAUUAUUUAUUAAGCUUAAAUAAUAAUUACUAAGGUCUUCACAAAAUUCGUUGGGGGUCGAUGGACUCCGAUGAACCCUCUAGAUUCGUCCCUGCCCACUUGUCUCUCUUACAGAGUUUUUUUUGAUUCUUUUGUCUAAGUUGGCUGUAAGUUUACGGUCCACUUCUCUCUUCUCAACCUCAAUAUUUAGGCAGUUUACAACCUCUUAUUACACUUGCUCUAAGGUGUCUUUUGAUUCCAUGAUAGGCUCAAAUGGAUUACAAGGCAUGCUUGCUGGCCUCACUUGUGUCCAACCCACUUCUCCGAUUCCACCCUAAGCCUGUUUGCUUGACCUUAUCUAUCAAAUCUGUCAGUUAUUCAGCAAUGUCAACAAUAUUUUUCUCUUAUAACAAAUCAGCGAACAAUACUUUUUGUCAUGGCUUCUCAGCCAAACAAACAGGUUGUAUAGCAACAGGUAUUUUUAAAGGGGCCGAACGAGACAAGCUAGGUGGGCCAACACGGCACAACUACGGCGCAGUGCCAGAUAGUGUUCUUGAAAGAUCAACACACGGGUUCCUUCAAACUCAUCUACGCGGUUAACUGCCCCACAAAACAAUUGCAGAGAUGGUGUAUGCACCGCAUCCUGAUGGAGGUGGUUGGUGCUUAGUAUUCGCGGACAUACGUGUACAAGCUCUUGAAUUUCAGUUUCUACGCCACAAAAGGGGUAUACAAAUAUCUAAUUUGAGCAUCCUAUGGGAUAGAAUCAACAUACUGUUGCGGCCACCAUGGAGUGGAGCAUCACAGACCACACAAGAUGCCCUAGCAACAAUGAAGACAGGAGGAACUCUGCUUCUGUUAGUGAACACAGUGGUUGCAGGAACCAGAUGUUUUCGGAUCAAGGUUAUGCCUGUCAGUGCAACAAUGGAUACCAGGGAAAUCCUUAUAUCUAUGGUGGCUGCACAAAUGAUGAAGGUGAUUUCAUAUAUGCAAAUCACCUUCCCUAGUUUUUUCAUUUUUCUUUUACCUAUCACAAAAUUGCUUAGUUCUUUUAAAUUCGUCUUAUACGAGUAUCUACACUUAUGUAUGUUAAUGUAGAUCAUUUCAAUGACUUCAUUUUUGCAUGGAAUUAUAAUCCAAAACCAGUAAAGGAGAAUUUUUCUCACCGGUGUGGGAACAUUACUGUCCCAUUUCCUUUGGCUAGGUUGUUCUGCAAGGAGACUGGCCUUGUUUAGAUGUGAAAAUUUUUUGGAUUUCGCUACUGUAGCACUUUCGUUUGUUUGUGGCAAAUAUUGUCUAAUCAUAGACUAACUAGGGUUAAAAGAUUCGUCUCGCGAUUUACAGGCAAAUUGUGUAAUUAGUUUUUAUUUUUAUCUAUGUUUAAUGCUUCAUGCAUAUGCCGUAGGAUUCGAUGUGACGGGAAAUCUUGAAAAAUUUUUGGUUUUUGGGGUGAACUAAACAAGGCGUUAGUUCGCAAAAUUUUGAAUUUAGCUACUGUAGUACUUUCGACUUUAUUUGAUAAUUAUUAUUCAAUUAUAGACUAAAUAGGCUCAAAAGAUUCGUCUCGCAAAUUACAAGUAAACUGUGUAAUUAGUUACCUUUUUUAUCUAUAUUUAAUGCUUCAUGCAUGAACCGCAAUAUUCGAUGUGACGAGGAAUCUUAAAAAAUUUUGAAAACUAAACCAGGCCUUUUCCAGCUCAACUGCUCAGACCUGGCACAUACUGUCCUUCGAUACAAUGACCAACUUCAUGUGACAUACAUAGAUGUGAGCGAGGGCCUUGUCACUUGUCAGCAUGAAAUUCAACUUAAGUUGGGAAUAUUUGACUACGGAACUGGAUAUGCUGAUAUAUUAUAAUGAACCCGGCCUUUGUGGAUCCUUUGGAAUCAGCCUCUGCAAAGUGGGCGGUUGCUAAUCUAACCUGCCAACCGGCAAGCAUCUGGACAUGCUUGUGUGAGUAACCAUUGCACUUGCCUCAAUGUUAUGAGCUCCUCAGAAGGAUAUGUUGGUUACAGAUGCAAAUGCUCACCUGGGCUUUGUUUAGAUGCGAAAAGGUUUUGGAUUUCGCUACUGUAGCAUUUUCGUCUGUUUGUGGCAAAUAUUGUUUAAUUAUGGACUAAGAGCAUCUCCAACCAUUAUGCAUUUGAAGUUAUGCAUUUUAGCCAAAUUGCAAACCCCCAAAUGAAAAUGGCAAGGCUAAAAUCGAGUGAUCUCCAACCGUUAUGCAAAAUGCCAAGUCCAUCAUCUUUUUUCCCUAGAAAUUUUGUUUCGCGGCACUCCUUCCCGCGCGGCCAAUCAAUCCCACGCCAAACAGCCCGCCGUCGUCUCCCGUUCACCAAUUCCCGCGCCAAACAGCCGUGCAGUACCGAUCGUGAGCCGCGCCAAAACCCUAGAUAUCACAUUGAUGAAGAAGGCGUACCUGGCCGGCGUUGAUGAGGAAGGCGUCGUAGAUUCGUCCUAUCGCGCGCUGCGUCGUCCUAUUGUGCGCUGCUUCGUCCAAACGCGCGCGCGAAGCUGGCGAAGGAGGACGCGUGAUGCUUCUCCUAUCACGCGAAGUGGUGGCGGCGCGAAGGGAAACCGUGCGAAGGGAAGAAAAAAGCCCGCGAGGUGGAACCGAGAAUCCCGUGAUCUCUAUUUGCAUAGCCGGACUCCUUUGGCAUAUAUGCCAAGUUUCCCCCUCCAAAUGCAUAGCUAUGUAAAAUGCAAAGUCCAAAUGCAUAACGAUUGGAGGGGUUUUUUUUGGAGUUUUAUGCAUUUUGGUAAAUGCCAAGUCCAUUUGCAUAAUGGUUGGAGUUGCUCUAAAUAGGAUCAAAAGAUUUGUCUCGCGAUUUACAGAUAAACUGUGCAAUUAGUUUUUAUUUUUGUCUAUAUUUAAUGCUUCAUGCAUGUGCCGAAAGAUUAGAUGUGACGGAAAAUCUUGAAAACUUUUUGGUUUUCAGGGUGAACUAAACAAGACCCUAGUUUUGACGGAAAUCCGUACAUCCAAGAUGGAUGUUAUGGUACUCCCUCCCACUCCUCCCCCUUUGACCUAUUAUGUAUAGCCAUAAUCUUUUUGCGUCGUUUCGUAAAAAAAUUACAUAUUCUUUUUGCAAGUUUUGUGUCACCUUAUAUGUGAAUAUGGCUACAGAUAUUGACGAGUGUCAGCGGUCGCCAGGCAUUUGCAGAGGUGUAGUUUGUCAUAAUACCAUAGGAAACUUCACUUGCACUGAGUGCCCUCGCAACACGAUUUAUGAUAUAGGUGCAAAUCAGUGCACACCAGCAUCAAAGAAAAACUUCAUGUUAGGUGAGUGCCAUAUUUGUCAAUUCUGCACCAGACAAUGUGGUCUUAAUAUAUACAAACUGAGGGGCAUUAUUCUUGUAGGUAUCUAAUUGGUCUGAGCUCUGGUCUUGGCAUUCUUCUUCUAGGCUUAAGUGCAGUAGUGCUCAUCAGAAGAUGGAAAAGAAAUUCCCAGAAGAAACUAAGAAGGAAGUAUUUCCGAAAGAACCAAGGCCUUCUCUUAGAGCAACUAAUAUCAUCAGACGAAAAUGCAAGUGAGAAGACAAAGAUUUUCUCCUUAGAAGAGCUUGAAAAGGCAACAGAUAACUUUGAUACCACCCGUAUUCUUGGUCAUGGAGGGCAUGGCACAGUAUACAAAGGCAUCUUAUCUGAUCAACAUGUGGUGGCUAUCAAGAAGUCCAAGCUUACCAAGGAUGCUGAAAUCAAUGAUUUCAUCAACGAGGUUGCAAUCCUCUCUCAGAUAAAUCACAGAAACAUUGUGAAACUCUUUGGGUGUUGUCUUGAAAGUGAGGUCCCUUUACUAGUAUACGAUUUGAUUCCAAAUGGUUCUUUGUUUGAAACACUUCAUGCUGAUUCUUCAAGUAGUGGAUCCUCGUUACCAUGGAAUGAUUGUCUAAGGAUUGCCACAGAAGCUGCAGGAGCCCUGUACUAUCUCCACUCUGCUGCCUCGGUAUCAAUCUUCCACCGCGAUGUGAAGUCCUCUAACAUACUCCUAGAUGGAAACUAUACUGCUAAAGUUUCCGAUUUUGGUGCUUCAAGAUCUGCCCCAAUUGAUCAAACCCAUGUCAGUACCAAUGUGCAGGGCACCUUUGGUUACUUGGAUCCAGAAUAUUACCAAACUGGGAAGCUAAUUGAGAAGAGUGAUGUUUACAGCUUCGGCGUGGUACUUCUGGAGCUUCUCCUGAGAAAACAGACAGUUUUUACAAAUGAGUCAGGCAUGAAGCACAACUUGUGCAACUAUUUCCUUUCAGGGAUCAAGACGAAGUCGGUUACAGAGAUAACAGCUGCUGAAGUUCUUGAGGAAGCCACAGUGGAACAGAUUGAAAAGGUUGCAUCCCUUGCAGAGAUGUGCUUGAGGCUGAGAGGUGAUGAAAGGCCUACAAUGAAGCAAGUAGAAAUGACACUACAGCUUUUACUAGCAGAAAGCAUGAACUCAUCUCAUGUUCACACAGGAAACGUGAAAAACAUUCAGCCUUUGCUGACAAGAAGAGUUGUAGCUUCUCGCAGGCAAAUCCUGUAUUGAACCGAAGGACAGAGGUAAUGUAGCACCUCAGGGCAGCUACAACUUCUUUAGCUUGGAGCGAGAGUUUUUAUCGUCAGCUAGUCUACCACGUUAGAUGAAUUAUUGGUAUUUAUUACUGGCUACUGUUGAAAUGGUUGGUUUUGCUUAUCCCUAUCAAAUCUUAUGUGCACAGAUAUAUGACUACAGUAAGUGCUUCAAUCUAAGAAGCUGAGCUGAAUGUUGUCUGGAACCUGUAAACGCUGAGCAUCGCAAUAUGCUGUUGCGUCUUUGUCUGAAGAAACCUAAAACUAUUUCUUUUUUUGGGUCCUAUUUGCUAUUCUUAUGGAUUGACGCAGUGUCUCUGGAACUCUGAGUACAUUUGUUAUUUUAAAUUAUGAAUACUACAUUUCUAGAAAUAGCACCAUUUUGAAGAAUGGACUUAUUUGGAACAGGAUGUAAUUAGUUAGUUGCCUUCAACUUAGGUUGAUCCACUUGUACAACUAGAAGCUACUUGAAAACCUGCACUGCCUAAUUUCUAACAGGCAAUCGUCAGUUCUCGCUGUCAGUUGUAGACCGGCUUCAUUUUACUGGCUAUAAUAUGCCUCAACCAGUUUCCGGAUUGAAGUAUUCUCCAAUCGGAAGCAGUAGUUGUUUAUUCUAAGACGAAACUAGCCCCAGAAAUCAAAGAGAGAGGAAAACAAAAAAAAGAACGCCAGCAAGCAUUUCUGCUGGCUGUGAGGCAUUUCAACAAACACUUUGGAAGCACUCACCUACAAUUUCCGAGCUCAGACAUCAGUCAUCUCCAAUUGUGAUGCCCCAUGGCGCGGCGCAUCACCACCAUCACCGAGCGGCUGGUCCUGAAGCGACAACUGCAACAACGGGAGUGGCUGACAUCGAACGGCGCGGGAUUUAGGGAAGGAGGGAGUAGAGGGUAGAACAAUGUUCACCUGAAUUCAAUUUGAUAACAAUACACUCGUAUUUUUUUUAGAUUUAUUAUUUAAAAAUCUAAUAGUGAUAUUAGGCAACGCGUCAAUCAAUCUCUUUAAUGUUCAUGGGAAUAGAGUGUCGCAAGUCACUUUUCCAAAUCGGUUGGUUUUUGUCACUUCUUUUUAUAAAUAGAAAACAGAAAUCAAAAUUCAGGUGCUAUAUUCAUGUGCCAAAGCUCAAUUUACAGAUUUGUUCUGUUAUGUAAAGGUAGGGAAGUCACUGUGUUGAUGCCAAACAAGGUUUUACAGAAACCGAUACUGCCUAUCAAAGAAACCAAUAUCGAAGUCACAGAGCAUCAGCAAUAUACAACUGGAGAAGUAAACCGAAGUUGCUAUAAAUCUCUUUUAAAAAAUCGGAGUUGCUAAAGAGAAAUAUGACGUAUCACAUCCAUCAGCACUAGUACAUUUGUGUGGGCACUAGUACAUUUGUGUGGCAAGUAAUAAAAAAAAAAGUAAGUACAAAAAGAAAUAUGACGUAUCUAACAUGACAGCGUCAGAUGAUAUCAACUACUCUUGCACGCACUUCCCAUCGGCUUGCAAAACUUAGCAUCCAGAACACAUGUCCCAACCAUGGUACUGACAUAAUCACCAAGAAUGUGCUGAUCCAAUUGAACACUGUCCAUUACACAGAUUUCCGUCUGUAAAAAUGGGUCCCCUUCCAUCUGACUAUUAGCACUACAUAAAAAGGACAACUAAAUGUCACUUCCUCUAGUUAGCAAUCAAUUUGCAAGGUGGCAACUCAAAAGUCAGCAAGUCAGGUACCUGAUCCAGGAAAAGGACACAAACAUGAAAAAAUCUACCUGCUUAAAAAUUAAGGAUUGCAAGACAGCCCUAGGCCGCUAGACGGCAGUGUGUGCACAUUGUGUUCCUCUUUGGGGGUAUAAUGAUUGCUCAGAGCCCAUUUAUGCAUCCAUUUACUUCCGAGGCAAUCCAUGUACACAUGAUAAUGACUAGAACCCAUGACAAAGUCUCGCUAGGAUCUAAUCAAAAUAACAUGACCAGCCACCAAUGUACCUAGCAAUUGUCAAUGAAAUAUAAAUAGAUAAUAAACAGCAUGGUACCGAUUCUACAAACACAUCAAGUGGAACCUGUCAUUCAUUGAAAACACAGCAAAGGAUGUCAAUAAUGGAAACCAUAGGGGAGAAAUUCAUCGGCACAAACAACAACAGCUGGGAAAUAGUUUUUCCUAUGAAAGACAAGCUAUAUACAAUAUAUUGUUCCAAAUUGUAAGUCGCUCUGGCUCUUCUACGUACAUAGGUGCAUAGCCAUAGCAAUCUACUUAGAAAAGCCAGAACGACUUACAAUUUGGAAUGGAGGGAGUACUAGCAACCUAGGGAACCAAAGCGCAAACAUAGAAUUAUAGAAACUAAAAUCCCACAGAUGCUCAAGCUAAAAUGAAAUAGUUUGUAUAGUUCAACCUGGCAACAGCACUGUAUUACUAUGAUUAAAACAAGUUCACAAACCAUGUUCAUACCUCAAGACAUUAGCAGAAUCAUAAUUGUAGUAUCAUGAGUCCUAAUUCCAGCCGUGAUUAACUAGUACCAAUCAAAAACAUCCCCAAGAUCAUCAUCAUCACCACCAUUUCCAAGAUCAUGCUCUUCUUGCACAUCAUCCAUCUGUCCGCCGUGCUCUUCGUUCGACCAAUUUGAACUAUUUUCCUCCUCGUUGAAAUCAUCCAGUACAUUCUAGAAACGAAGAAAGUAAGUUAUAUAUCUAAUUAGAUAAACUUAACAUAAUGUAUGUAUGUUCAAGAAAAACCUCAUUUCCAGGGCCUCUUUCACUUGAUGUGCCAUCUUGUUUUUGUGCAUUGUUAAUCUCUGGCAGCACAACAUCUUCUAUGUUGAGCUGCUUAAUUACCUUUUUGAAAUACAAAUUAUCUGCAGAGAAAAGUGAAACUGGUAAAUGACAAGCACUAAGCUAGAUGAAAGAUUAGAAAAGAAUGCAGGUUGACCCCACUAAUUAAGCGAUAUCUCACCUCCUGAGCGAUGAAAUAUAGCAUCAUGGACUAGCAAUGGAUUUUUUUUCUCCUCAGAUUUAAAUUUUUGCCGCACCUGAUGGCGAGUCUUAUCAGGGAGUAAUUGUUGUAUCAUUGCAAAAUCGCUACCAAAUUGUCGAAUACCCUGGUCCAAAAUUAAUACAAUAACAUCUUAGCAGAAGAUCUAAGGUCAUAUGAAAUUACAUAUAGCAUUCCAAGCGCUUAAUUUCUAAUGAAAAAUAAACCUCGUAAAACAAGUCAGUAUCUGAUUUUGACCAUUUUCCUCGGGCUGGUUUGUUCAUGUAGGAUUGGUAGUUCAAUUUUGUUGUAUUUUGUACAUGGUUCUCUGUUCCAUCAUUGUCAAAGAACCUAGCUUCCUCAUCUCUGUAGUCCAAAUCAUCCAUAUCUUCAAGUCCAAAGCUUCUGUGCAUAAGAUAACAAUAUUAAUGAAAGAAUCGAAUAAACGCAAAUAAAAAAUUGAAACUAUAGUACUCAAUUUGAACCUUUAAAUUUUGAUCAAGGAUGUUUUAGAUAUUUUAAUCUUCAACUUAAAUUCAGAUAAACCAAUCAGCCAUUUAUAAAAAUCAUGGCUUUUAAGCUGCAUUUCCAGGUGCAAAAUAAAAUGUCAGGAAUGGAAUACAUAGCACAAAAAGGCUUUUAUGCUGCCAAAACAAGUAGAAGUUGCUUUUUGAAGGGUCGUGGCUAUUCAACAGGUGUACAUGAAAUAAAAUGUCAGGAAUGGAAUAUAUAGCACUAGCAGAGUGUGACAGAAGCUUUGAUGCAGUCCGAAAAACUGAAAAAUGCAAAUAAUGACUCUGGAACCAGCAAGAGCAACAUCAAUGUCAUCUUGAAAGACUGUCUCCAACAGAGUAGCUAAAGCGUGACCCAAAUGCAUUUUGGGUAGUGCACAGUGUUUUGAGUACCAAAAAACAGUCUCCAACGGCUUAUGCAAAUUGAACACCUAUUUUGGGUACGAUCUGAGCCGGAACGCAAAAAUGCGUCGUCUCUCCCCGCGACGCAAUCUUCUUGCGCCGGUAGUGGUGGGCCCAGGCGUCGGUUGGAAGACGACGACGACGGCGUAGGAUGGAGCUUGUCGUACUAGGAGGCAGCGUGGAGCAGGUCGGCCGUCGCGCCAGUGACGCGGCCCUUGUCCACCUUCUCCAGGCUGUGGUCCUGGACAGCUAGCCUGGCCGCCUCCACCACGAGCUUCGCGCUCGAUGCAAGGUCGCCGCUGCCCCACGCGGAUGGGUGGUGCUGGGAAGAGCGACGGCGGCCGGAGUUCUCGUCACCAUAGUAGGAGGCCAUUUCGGGUUGGGGUGGAUCUGGAGAAAGACAAGCGAACCUCAAGGCAGCAGGCUCGCCUACUUGGUGGUGGGCUGGAGGUUGGCCGUGCGGCGGCAGUGCCUGCGCUCUCCCACACGCUCGCCCCGCGAGCUGGUUGGCGGAGGUCAUCCGCGCGGCGGCAGGCCAAAGCUUCCUGUGCGGACCUCGGUGGGGAGAGAGAUAGGCGCUGGGGGCUGUCCUUUGCGUUCUGCCUGUUGGAAAAUGAACUUUUUCGGUUGCUGACCCAUUUACUGUGCAGAACCUAAAAACUAGAAUGGGUCAUCGUUUUGCCUUCUAGUUGUUGGAGUCAGUCUUAUACUCACUAUAUCUAGAUGCAAAGCCAAAAUUAUGAAUCUAGAAAAGCCAAAACAUCUUAUAAUUUGGAAUGGAGGGAGUAUGAAACACCAAAAUAUCCCCUUUGAAACAUAAAUAUCUAAACAUGCUAGCAAAAAUAAUUUUGCUAGAUGACAUAUCUGGAUGGAAAAUUGGAAAGUAGGGAGUGGUACACUGGUCCAAUAUGUUCAUUUAUGCCCACCCAAAUGCGCUAAAUCUACUUUGGUUAGAUGAUAUCAUACAUAGAGAAAUAAAAGAAAGAAGAAGUAUACCUUGAAUUAGAGGAUGGCCCAGAUGGAAUCUCUUUUGGCUGAAGACGUCAAGAAAAUCAUGAGAAUUAGCCAAAAAAAAAAACAAAUAUAACAAUAAAAAUUGCCACAAAACUCACAUUAACACGUUCUCUAGCUUCUUGUAACAACCUGAGAUGUGCUGCACUUAGCUUCAUGGGAUCUAUCUCCUCACUUUCCAGUAAAGUCUUAAUCUCUAAAAAAAAACCCAAUAUACAAGAGUCAAAACUCACAUUAUACAAAAAUGAAGCUCUUUUUUUAGCCACCAACCUUUUGGUGUCCUCUGACGAAUUCUGUGGGUCAGCUUCUUCUUCUCAGGCUUCGCUGCCAAUUCAUCCUUCAAGGUUCUUUUGCGGCCCCGUGAAGACACCUUGCUUUUAUUUUUUUGAACUUUCUGCUGUUGUGACUCUUCUACACCAUCCCUUGACUUUUUCCUAGCCUUACGCUUAUUACCAGUAGUGUAAUCAUCACCACUAUCAUUAUCUUCUUCAGCUAAUGAAGGUUCAACACAGUCUUCAUCAAAACAGUCAUCAACAGUGUGAUUAGGUGUCCCAACUUUUUGCAACUUUUUCCUGCAACGUAGUUUCAUAGAUGAUGCUAUUUCUCCAACAUCCGAAUUUGGUUGCUGUUCAACAGUAUGAUCUAGUGGCUCCCCCUCGUGGUCCUGAUCAUUUGAAUAUUGAUCCUCGGUAACAGAAUGCUAAAAGAAGAAAAAAGAGAGUAAUGAGAAACCUUGUAGUAGCCAUGUAAAUAUAGAUCAUUACAUCUUCUAAGCAGAAAUAUACUGACCUUUUCAGUCAUCUGCUGAGAUGAGUUACUUAAAUUUUCAUCAGUCAAUUUGUCACUACAGGAAUUGCCGAUGUUACCCAUCUCAGAAUUGGUAUCUGUAGGAGUAGCUACCCCAGAAGCAUCCGAUAGAUAAAAAGAUACAGAUUUUGAUUUUCCCUUUUCUCUUCCUACAGUAGGUUGAGAUUUAAAAGUGAAUACAGCUGUAAUGAAUAUUUUUGCUCUUUAUGAGAAUACAGUUCCGAGGAUAUUACCCAAUGAAAGGCGAACUAUUAACCAUGAUAACAAAAUUAUUUCUGUACAUCCCAAUAUGAAUAAGGGCUAUGCAGAUAAUAUCACUCAACUCGAAAAAGCUUCAACUGAUAGUAAAGGAACUUGUGAUACUUUACCUCUUGGUUCCUUAGCUAGAUUAAGCAAACUACGAAGGAAGAACAAAAUUAACUGAAAAUUGAUCCUUAUAAAUAUAAUUACAUUUUGAUGUAGCUAAGCACAAUUGAUAUUAUAGUGUUACAACAUGAGGAAUUAUGUAUAGAGGUACAGGGAGAACCCACAGACCGCACCAGAUUAAACCAGUGCUGCCCAAGACAGACAUGUACUCCCUCUGUCCUAAAAAGAGUGUCGUUUUUUGCUUCUAAACAUCUUGUUUGACCAUCCGUCUUAUUCAAACUUUUUGUCUAAAUAUCACCUAUUUUGCUAUGACUUAUAUUAUCAUCAAGUAUACUUUAAUUUAUUUAUUUUAUAAUUUACAGAAAUUUUUUUGAAUAAGACGAACAGUCAAACAUGAUAUCUGAAAGUAAAAAACAUCACUCUUUUUGGGACGGAGGGAGUAGGUACUAAGCGACACAAUCCCUCCGUGCCACGUAGGCCACCUGUGCGGUACUAGAACCUAGGUCUCAUUGGGUUUGGACCUUUUUUUGUCAUGUCCUGAGAAAUCAAAACACAUAUCUGAUUCUUGGUUAGAAGAAGCACAUGUGUCUCACUGAUCUUACAGAAAGUGGCAAAGGAGAGGAGAGUCCUCUGUGACAUUCAGCUGGUGCCUGGGACUAUGCGAGCUACUCCUAAAGUCUCCCACCUUGGACUCUUAGUCCCUUUCCUGCGUGAGCUAGUCAUAUACAUCUAUGAGUGUAUGACGAUCCUAUGGUAGAUUGAAUCUAUGUGUGGGUAGCAAGGGUCUUUAUGCCCUCUUGGUUAUAUCUUUUUUCCUUAAACUUAAUGAAAUGUUUGAAAAAAAAGAGAUUAAUAAGUGGUCCACUAUGAUAUCUAGUUAAAUAGUUAAGGGGCUAUGCAUACUUAUGGAAAUAUCAGUGAGUAAAAUAAACUUGAUCCUUAAAUAUUCAGGUAGCAAGUGAAGGAAACUAUUAUUUAAAUAAACAGUUAGUUUAACCUCAAAAAACUGUUUGAAAAAAACACUUGUGUCUAAAAACAGCACAGAUACAAAUUAUGGCUUUAAAAAUAGCACUAGUGAUCAUUGACCUAACCAUCUGUGCAUAAACACAAGCCUGCAUGACAGAGCUCAAAGCUCAUACUCAAGUAUUAUUGCAACAAUAAGCACAUAUCUAAGAAAAGUAUCUUCAAUUCCAUUUACUCUAUUGAGAUGUUUCAUCCAUGAAAGUUAGCCCUUAAAUAGUUAAAUAUAAAGAACAACGAGGUAAAAAAACACUUGUGUCUAAAAACAGCACUGAUAAAAAUUAUGGAUCUAAAAAUAGCACUAGUGAUCAUUGAUCUAACCAUCUGUGCAUAAACACAAGCCUGCAUGACAGAGCUCAAAGCUCAUACUCAAGUAUUAUUGCAACAAUAAGCACAUAUCUAAGAAAAGUAUCUUCAAUUCCGUUUACUCUAGUGAGAUGUUUCAUCCAUGAAAAAUAGCCCUCAAAUAGUCAAAUAUAAAGAACAACGAUGGGCCUUUCCCAGCACCAAUCGGGGAACGGCCUCCACCUCCGCCAUCCACGCGCGCACGCACAGCAACUCCUGCCGCGGCGCCGCCCUUGCUUCUCCUGCGGCUCCCUCCACCCCUCCCUGCCCCCGCUUCGGUCGCCGCCCGAGGAGCACACUCCCUUCCGCCUCACAAGCCCACGAGAGACGAGGCCCCUCCCUGCCUCCGCCGCCGCCGCUCCGUCCGUCUGAGGCGGACAAGCCCGCCCCCUCCGGCCGGCCUCUUCCUGCCGUUGUCAGGUCGCGCUCUCCCCCCGCCUCUCCUCCGGUUUGUCCGUUUGUGUUCGACAUCCUUUCCUUCCAGAAGACGCGGUUGGCUGAUUGAUUAAUUCCGUCCUUCCUUAUUAGGAGCACCCGCAGUCGUGGUCCACCCAUAGGAGGGAAGGACGCGCCGCCUCCACGGCCGCCACCGACACCUCCACAGCCUGCUUCGUGGCCGCCCUCCGCCGCCGUUGCGCACGUGGAGCCGGAGGUCGGAGAUCUGCCUCGUUGAGCCAGAGCCGGAGGUCCGAGGUCAGCCUCCCUCUCUCCCCUCUAUGCAUCGCCUCCUACAGUGGUUGAUUCUAUUCCUUGUGCCACUGAUAAGCUCUAAAUAAACCCAGCUAGUUUCCUUUGUAUCCCCAUUGUCGUAGGAGUUUUUUUUUGGGGUUUCGGAAUGGUGCCCCAACUCCAUCUGCCCAUUUUCUGUUAGAUUAUUCUUAUUAUGCACGCAGUGCCGAUCCAUCACCUAUUGAAGUGCUAGUGUAAUUUUUUUGGGUCCACUUAUCAGCGCAGUGCACGCUUGAUUUUACCUGCAUGAAAGGUCAUAAAGAAAACUAUAAAAAAUCAGAGGUGGAGAAAGACAAACUAUGGCCUCGAAACUCAUGGGUGCAUGAUAAUGUCACGUUAUUUAAGUUGCAUGAUAAUGUCAAGUUACUUUAGUGAACACGUCAAAUUCCCUCAAUUUAAGACAUUACUAUAGCUGUCUGCAAAAAGUACAAACGUCCAGGUGUUAGGCAGAGUCUCGUCGCCUGCCUAGCGCCUAUGCAUUUUGUUAUAGUUAUUGAGUAUUUGCUGGCUAGGGCAUCUUGAGAAAAUUGAGAGUUGGGCACGGAUAUAUUACAGAUGAUGCUAAUAUAUGGCUUUCCCUGAGGGUUCCUCGUAAACCAAUCAGGCAUUGCCCCAACUUUCCUGAAUUUUAUUUGUCCGUUCUGCUGUAGCCCUGUAUCCAUUGUUGUCGCUGAGUACUUUUGCUGCGUUUAGUUAGUUAUGUCAUUGCCAGUUGUCCUCGAUCUUGAAUCUGUUCUUACUCACACGUGAUGUUGCACCAUAUUUUCCUUCACCUACUGACUCGGAUCCUUGUAAAUUAUUGGUUCCAUUAAAGGCUCUUUGCAUUGUGGCAUUCAUUUGGUAGUUGUGUAUUUAGUUCAAAUUUAUAUUGUACAUUCUGGUUGAAUACCCCAUCCUAACUCUACAGGCCCUAAGGAUUUUUAUUUUCUUUUUUACUUGUCUGAUUCUAUGUUUGCCCCCGUUGCUGCUUCCUAAACCUGCAAUAUUCCUUUCAGGCUUUCAGUGACACUUUCAAUAUAUCCUGCUGUAGACCACAACGGCCACACAGAUGAUUGAUGAUGAGGCCAACUUCGACAAUAUGCUUGAUGGUGCAGAAGAAGUUCAGGCUACUGCAAAGUUCCGUCCCAACCAACAUCCCAAACCCCAAAAAACAGCUCUGUCUUCCAGAUCUGCAGCGCCUAAUCCUACUGAAGAAACUGGGGAUGGGAAAGUAGGAGCCUUAAAUCAAGUCAAUUCUUCUAAAGAGCUCACCAGCCAAAAAAGGACAUCCUUGACGUGCCCUGGUAGUGAGUCAGUUGAUACUGUUGCUAGUUCUCAAGGUACUCUUGGCACACCGUCGGGAGAUGCAUUGACAGUUCCCUUGGAUCCUCUGGCUGGUGCUUCUGCUGCAGAUAAGAUUUCUCAAGAUGGUGAGCACAAUGAUGAUCCGUCUAAGUUAGCUAUACACCAAGAAAGCUCGGUGGUAUCAGAUAUCAAUGUGUCACCUAACAGUUCAUGUGGCAAGGCUAUUGAUGAUAUAGUUGAAUUUGGGGACAUGUGUGAUGCACAAGUUGAAGAGGAAAGAGUUCCAAAGUUCCAGCCAAAGGUACAGACUGUUAAUAGUAAGCCGUGAGCUGUACUUUCCUGUUUUGUACCUUCCUAUUCUACUGCUAGUGCUAACGGCAUGGCCCAGGGAGUUGGGAUGGCAACCCCCAAUCACGAGCAUGCCUUAUAGGCUCUUGCCUUUUAUAUUGUUGCCUAGUUUAGUGAUUGGCUUAUUGCCUUAGAUAGCUAUGUAAUCAGCUAUAUAUAGUGAACUAUAUUCAGAGGAAUAGCUGCCUCAUUGCAGCCCACAAUACCUGUGUCUUCUUCUGUGUGUGUGUUGAUCGGUGCUCUAACAUUUGGUACCAGAGCCUGAUCUCGUAGUUAGCCAUGUCUUCUAAGUCUCCGGCCAAGACCGAGAAGCCCGAAGGCAGCAACGACGAGAACAAGGUCCGUCCGUCGCGCUCGCCGCGACGUCGCCGUGGGCGCUCCGACAGUCGUCGUCGCUCCGGCUCCAGAGUUGUCGAGCGAAUCGUCGAGCGCUCGUCUGCACAUGUUGCAUGGCCGAUGCUAACCCGGACGAACUACCCGGAGUGGGCACUGGUCAUGGAAGUAAACUUCCAGACGCUGCGUGUAUGGGACGUCGUCCAAGACGGCCUCUCCGACGACGCCGACGACGAUGAGUACCAUGACGACCGCCAGGCGAUGGCCGGUCUCUUACGCUCGGUGCCGUCCGAGCUCUGGAACACGCUGGCUAGGAAGGACACGGUGAAGCAGGCCUGGGAUGCAGUCAAGCAUCUGCGGAUCGGCAAUGAGCGCGCGCGCGACGCCAGCGCGCAGCAGCUCCGCCGGGAGUUCGGCGCUCUCUCCUUCAAGGAGGGCGAAACCGUCAGCGACUUCGGCGUCCGCAUCUCCACACUCGCUGCCAACCUGCGCUCCCUCGGCGACAACAUCCAGGAUGCAGAGGUAGUCAAAAAGCUCCUGCAGGUUGUUCCAGAGAAGCUCACGCAGGCCGCCGUCUCCCUCGAGAUGUUCCUCGACCUCAACAGGGUCUCAAUCGAGGAGGUGAUCGGGCGGCUGAGGGUGUUCGAGGAGCGACUCAAGCCGAAGGAAGUGACGGACUCGCUGGGCCGACUGAUGCUCUGUGAAGAGGACUGGGAGGCGCGCCGCAAAUCACGUCGUGAGCAGGAGAACUCCGGCGGAUCGGGUUCUGGCGCCCGCGGCAAGCAGCGUGGGCGCGGACGCGGACGCGGCGGCUCAGGCACUUCGUCGCGUGAUGGCCGUGAUGGCCAGAACGCGCAGGCGGCCAAACCUGGCGGCAAGAAGCCGCCCCCCGGCUACCACUGCCAGUCCUGCGGCAAAACUGGUCACUGGACCAAUGAGUGCCGCAGCAAGAAGAAGGGCGCGGCGCACGUCGCACAAGCCGAGGAAGAAGAGCACGCGCUGAUGUACAUCACGGCGGAUCCAGAGGUAAUUGCAUCGCCCGUGGCGUGUUGUCCUCACAGGCCUCCAUUGACGCCAGCAGCCCCGGAGUCGGAGACACGGGUUCACAUCACUGAACCCAAGGUCCUCCUUCACCUCAGCGAGGAGCAGGAGGAGGCCGUGCAACCCCAUCGGUGGGUGCUCGACACUGGCGCAACGAACCACAUGACGGGCGCCCGCAAUGUCUUCGCCGAGCUCGACACCAGCAUCUCUGGAACAGUCAAGUUCGGAGACGGCUCGGUGGUGAACAUCCACGGCAAGGGGACGGUACUGUUCGUCUGCAGGACCGGUGAACAUCGUCAGCUGGACGGCGUCUACUACAUCCCUCGCCUCACCACCAACAUCAUCAGUCUCGGCCAGCUGGACGAGACUGGGUUCAAGGUCGACAUCGAGUCAGGCAUACUCCGUCUCUUCGACCCGGACCGGCAGCUGCUGGCGAAGGUGCAUCGAUCGCCAAGUCGAUUGUACUUCCUCGACAUGAAGGUGACUGCCCCUGUGUGCCUCACAGCACGGGUUGGCGACAUGGCGUGGCGAUGGCACGAACGCUACGGUCACCUCAACUUCAAGGCGCUGCGCAAACUGGGACGCGCCGACAUGGUGCGUGGACUGCCCACCAUAGACCAUGUCGAGCAGGUCUGUGAAGACUGCGUCCUGGCAAAAUAGAAGCGGGCGCCGUUCCCCAAGGCCGCAAAGUUCAGGGCUCAGGAGGAGCUCGAGCUGGUCCAUGGAGAUCUCUGCGGCCCCAUCACGCCGGCAACACCGGCUGGGAACGUCUACUUCCUUCUACUCGUCGACGACAUGAGCCGCUUCAUGUGGCUCACCCUCCUGCGUUCCAAGGCGGAUGCCCCAGCAGCCAUCCAGACGUUUCAGGCGCGUGUUGAGCGCGAGACGGGCAAGAAACUGAAGGUACUCCGGACUGACAACGGCGGUGAGUUCACCUCAGUUGAAUUUGGGGAGUACUGUGCAGGAGAGGGGAUUCAGCGUCACCAUUCAGCCCCCUAUACGCCGCAGCAGAAUGGCGUUGUAGAGCGGCGAAACCAGACCGUGGUGGCAAUGCCGAGGAGCAUCCUUCGAGCCCGCGGAGUUCCAGGGUGCUUCUGGGGGGAGGCAGUGCACACUGCUGUCUUCCUGCUCAAUAGAGCACCCACUGCUGCGCUCGAUGGGAAGACCCCGUACCAGGCGUGGUACGGGAAGAAACCCCCUGUACACUUCCUCAAAGUGUUUGGGUGUGUUGCCUACAUCAAGCAAGUGCGCCCACACCUCGCCAAACUGGACGACAGAGGCAUCAAGGUCGUCUUCAUCGGCUACCAGGACGGGACCAAGGCGUACAGGUUCUUUGAUCCCGAGGCCGCACGCGUCUACGUCUCCCGCGACGCCGUCUUCGAUGAAGAUGCGCGGUGGAACUGGGAAGAAAAUCUGGGCGCUGAUGACCGUCUGCCCUUCUCCAUCGAAGAAGACCACGAGGUGCAGAUGCAGCCGAUUGCAGCACCCGUGACGCGGUUGCAACCUGCGUCCACUGCCCCCGCGGCUUCUUCCCCAGCCCCGAGCAUGACCUCGGCGUCAUCCCCUGCUCCAAGCGCGACGCGGGCUUCGCCAUCUCCUUCGACCCCGUCUGCAUCGACGCAGGACAUACGAACUCAGAUUGAGUUCGCGACGCCGCUCGCCAACGACUCCAACCUCGACGCCUAUGAUGAGGGGGAGCCACAUCGGUACCGCACGCUGGACAACGUCCUCGGUACAGAUGCAGUACCAGGGCUGGCACACCGAGACACCGCCGAGGCCGAACUCCACGCAGUUAGCCAUGCUGUGAGCGUGGAGGAGCCCCGCUCGCUGAAGGAGGCCGACGGCGAUCCUAACUGGGUUGCCGCAAUGGAGGAGGAAAUGAAGUCGAUCUGCGACAACCACACUUGGUCGCUGGUCGAGCUUCCACACGGACAUCGGGCCAUCGGCUUGAAGUGGGUCUACAAAGUCAAGCGUGACGAGAACGGCGCCAUUGUCAAGUACAAGGCGCGUCUUGUCGCAAAAGGCUAUGUGCAGCAGCCUGGAGUCGACUUCGAGGAGGUCUAUGCCCCGGUCGCACGGCUGGAGUCAGUGCGGCUGGUCCUCGCGAUCGCAGCACACUUCGGCUGGGGCGUCCAUCACAUGGACGUCAAAUCGGCGUUCUUGAACGGCGAACUCCAGGAGGAGGUAUACGUUCAGCAACCUCCAGGCUUCAUCGACAACGACCACAAGCAUAGAGUGCUCCGCCUCCACAAAGCACUCUAUGGACUGCGACAGGCUCCGCGCGCCUGGAACCAGAAGCUGGACACCGAGCUGCUGCGGCUUGGGUUCAAGCGCUGCGUCGACGAGCAUGGAAUGUACACCCGCGGUCAAGGCACUGGCCGCCUGAUUGUCGGUGUAUAUGUCGACGACCUCAUCAUAACUGGAGGAAACACCAACGCCGUGACAAAGUUCAAGCAGCAGAUGCUGAGCACAUUUAAGAUGAGUGACCUUGGCCUGCUCUCCUACUACCUUGGGCUCGAGGUGACACAGGGAGCAGCUGGUAUCUCACUCCGGCAGACGGCGUACGCCUCAAAGAUACUCGAGAAGGCGGGCUUGAGUGGUUGCAAUGCAAGUGCAACCCCCAUGGAGCCAAGGCUGAAGCUGCUCAAGGAAGGAACUUCGCUGGCUGUUGAUGCAACGGAGUACCGGAGCCUAAUUGGGAGCCUUAGGUACCUGUGCAAUUCCCGGCCAGACCUGGCUUAUCCUGUGGGGUACUUGAGCAGAUUCAUGGAGGCGCCACGGCAAGAGCACCUCACUGCUGUGAAACGUGUGCUCCGGUACGUGGCAGGCACACUGCACUGGGGACUACACUACUACCCUGGGAAGAAGAACUGUGGUGCGCCGGAGUUGCUGGGAUACUCAGACAGCGACUUGGCUGGCGAUGUGAAUGACAGAAAGAGCACUAGUGGGCUCAUCUUCUUCCUUGCAGGGGGACCGGUUGCUUGGCAAUCGGCGAAGCAGAAAGUGGUUGCUCUGUCCUCAUGCGAAGCAGAGUACAUUGCUGCUGCUGCUGCUGCGUGCGAGGCAGUUUGGCUGGCACGAUUGCUAGCUGAGCUCAUCGGAGGAGCUGUCCUUGCACCAAGACUGCUGGUAGACAACAAGUCUGCCAUCGCUUUGAUGAAAAAUCCUGUACACCAUGACCGGAGCAAGCAUAUUGAUGUGAAGUUCCAUUUCAUCCGGGAAUGCUGUGACAGGAAGCUGAUUCAUGUUGAGUUCGUCGGAACAGACUUGCAGCUAGGUGACAUCCUAACAAAAGCACUGGGUCGCAUUCGGUUCCAAGAACUUCGAAGCAUGAUAGGCAUGAAGAAGAUAGAGUAGGUACUCACGGCUUAGGAGGAGAUUGUUAAUAGUAAGCCGUGAGCUGUACUUUCCUGUUUUGUACCUUCCUAUUCUACUGCUAGUGCUAACGGCAUGGCCCAGGGAGUUGGGAAGGCAACCCCCAAUCACGAGCAUGCCUUAUAGGCUCUUGCCUUUUAUAUUGUUGCCUAGUUUAGUGAUUGGCUUAUUGCCUUAGAUAGCUAUGUAAUCAGCUAUAUAUAGUGAACUAUAUUCAGAGGAAUAGCUGCCUCAUUGCAGCCCACAAUACCUGUGUCUUCUUCUGUGUGUGUGUUGAUCGGUGCUCUAACACAGACGAAGCUCCUUAAGGAAACAGCCAAAUCUCGGAAACCAAAAGGUGGAAGCUUCCACUGUAGAUGUGGUUACACAAAAUGGAAAGGGCAAUAAUAUUCAAACAAGAUUCCAUCACGAUCAGGUACAGGAUCCUAAAAGAUAUGAAAGUGUGCAGAUCCCAGAUUCUGAAGGACUAUUGGCAACUGAUAAUAGUAAAAGUUGCAAUGUAGCUAACCUCGUCCUUGAGGAGUCAGUUCAAGAGGAAACAAUAGCUAAGUUUCAUCCUAAAUUGCAACUGGAGCCUGGGAAGACUUCAUCCAAGGUUGCUGUGACUAAAAAUAAUGUUGCUGCUGUUGCUCCAAUGGAUGGAGUUUGUCUCGGCAACAAUGAUGUGUGCAGAGAACCUAAAGAUCAAGAAACCAUCAUCAGUCCAGCUGCUUGGUCACCACAGGUUACAUCUAGGAGGUUUCAUUAAGUUAUUUUAUGGCAUUUCAUAUAAUAGCAAAAAAGUUUAUUUAAUCAACUGCUAUUGAUAUUAUAGGCUGUGCAUGCUACUGUUGAUGUAGACUAUCACAACGAACUAAUUAGUCCUCCUACCGAUGGUACUCAAUCAAUGGUGGGCAAAGUCCCAGGUAACAGCUUUUACUGGUGGAACUUCUUUCUUUUGAUGUGCUGUGUAUUCUAUACUUUAAAUAAAUGAUUGCGGUGUGGGUGACCUCGUCGUUCUUUAUAUUUGACUAUUUGAGGGCUAUUUUUCAUGGAUGAAACAUCUCACUAGAGUAAACGGAAUUGAAGAUACUUUUCUUAGAUAUGUGCUUAUUGUUGCAAUAAUACUUGAGUAUGAGCUUUGAGCUCUGUCAUGCAGGCUUGUGUUUAUGCACAGAUGGUUAGAUCAAUGAUCACUAGUGCUAUUUUUAGAGCCAUAAUUUUUAUCAGUGCUGUUUUUAGACCACUUAUUAAUCUCUCUUUUUUUUCAAACAUUUCAUUAAGUUUAAGGAAAAAAGAUAUAACCAAGAGGGCAUAAAGACCCUUGCUACCCACACAUACAGUGAUUCAAUCUACCAUAGGAUCGUCACACACUCAUAGAUGUAUAUGACUAGCUCACGCAGGAAAGGGACUAAGAGUCCAAGGUGGGAGACUUUAGGAGUAGCUCGCAUAGUCCCAGGCACCAGCUGAAUGUCACAGAGGACUCUCCUCUCCUUUGCCACUUUCUGUACGGUGCGGGCCCGUACUGAUAGCCAAAGUGAGUAUAUUAUUCAAGGCUUACUUUUUCCUCCAAUAUCAUAAUUUGUUCCAUGUUGAAACCAAACUCGCAAAUCUUUCAUUAGUAGCUUCAGUACAAAAUAAUACUCCCUCCAUCCCAAAUUGUAAGUCAUUCCAAGAAUCUUAGAGAGUCAAACUUUUCUAAGUUUGACCAAAUUUAUAUGAUAAAAUAAUUAUUAUUAUGAUACCAACUAAGUAUCAUUAGAUUCUUUCUUAAUUAUAUUUUCAUAAUAUACUCACUUUACGUUACAAAUCUUAGUAUUUUUCUCUAUAAGUUUGGUCAAACAUGAAAAUGCUUUGACUCUCCAAGAUUCUUGGAAUGACUUACAAUUUGGGAUGGAGGGAGUACUAUGUUAUAGGGACUUUGCUUGUACAUGGCUACUGGACAAUCUCAGAGCAAGUCAGCUGCUAAACCCACUAGGGACUGAAGCAAUAUAAGAAAACUGUAACUGAACUAUACUCUUUACACCCCACGGUGCACAGUUAUAUAAUUUGGUAUGGGAAAAAAAUGCAAGAGGUCAAGGCAGCAAUACCCACACAAUAUGCACAGAGUCCUGUAAAAGAUUUCAAGCAACAAGUUUAUCUCCACAGUGUUCAUCUCAGAAUCUCAGAUUGCUAGCGUUUACUAGCACUUCAUAUUUCCGCAUCUACUUGUUGAUGUACACUGUAUGUAGAUAGCGUCCCACUAAAGUCAUCAGAUGGUGUUCACAUGCAAUCUGUUAUAGUUUUCGUUUAUGAUGAUAUUAACUAGGACUUCGACUUGGUAUAAAUAAAGACACAGACUAAAUGCAAGUGCAUAGUGGACGUGACCUAUAUUAGAAAGAAUUAUUCUUCCUUCAAUGAGAAACAAUGCUAAGAGAAGAAAUUAUCUAUCUUCAGAAAGGACAAAGUCCUUGGUUGAUCAAGUCGAAGCAGUUUGCAUAACUUCUUCAGAUAUAAAGCACAGCUUACCAGAAUUAUCACUGUUCGGUGCACCAGCAUUUUGGUUCCAGCCAGGCAAGUAAUGUCCAGCAUUCCCCUUCCAUGAUUCCUCAAAUCCAGCUAGUUCAUCUAUAAAGUAAUUGGGUUAGAAUUAAUGAAAAUAUGAAUCCCAGGCACAUCAAGGAAAGCUAGCCAUAUCAAAUUAACCUUCAUUCAGGUUGUGCAUUGUCUGUGUGGUGUCAACCUUCCCAUCUGAAUUCAGUUUCCUUGUCAGGGAAUGGCCCUAAAAAAUACAAGGAAAAAUUAGUUAUAGUGCACCAAGUCUUUUUUUUUUUGCCUUUUGUGGUCCAUUAGCAAUUGAUAAGUCAACUCUGUGCUAGGUACACAAUCGUGUGCGCACAGGGCUUCUCAAUAUAAUUUUGAUUAAUCUAGUACAGCUCCAACGUGCAAAGAUUACCUACCUUAUCAUGGAUUCCUCGGGAGAUCCUAUGAGUGGCCUCUUUAGUUGUUGUAUCUGCUUCCUUGCUUUCUUCCACAGUGAUCUACAAGAAGCAUAAGUAUCGUCACUUCUAACUCCAAGAACCACAAAAUAAGGCAUCACUUGCAGCUUCCUAAGAAACAAGCUUACCCCAUCACUGCCAGUCCGCCGAGUCGUUGAAGCAGUGUAGUAAGCUCCAUUAAUACCGCCAUAUGUAACAGAAGAGCUCUGAUAUGUGAAAGUACGAGCCUGCGGCUGCCCUCCACUGUUAGCACUAUUGAGAUCCCUGCGCAGCUGGACUUGGCCACCUUCUGUCCCUACAAAGAAACAAAUCAAAAGAUGUGACACCUACAUAUCAUCCUUGCGACAACUCCAUGAAUGAAACUAGAUAAGUAAACCGGAUCAUCCAGGCUCGUACCAUCACUCCCAUCAUCUGGCUCCUGAACAUAAGAAUCUUGGUUGGGCUGCUUGUUACCGUGCUCUGCGUUUUCUCCUUCAUCCUCAUCAACCUCUGUGAUCACAGGCCUUCUGCUGUUACCCCUAGGCGGAGCUUGCUCGAUGAACCCAUGGUUCCCCAUGUCCCCAAAAGGCCCUCCCAUCGGCCCAAAAGGGCUAGGUCCAAACAUGUCAUGCUCACCCAUCAUCUGACCCCCAAACGGGCCAGGUCCAAACAUUCCAUGCUCACCCAUCAUCUGACCCCCAAACGGACGGGUAAAGAAUGGAUCAUCAAAUCGAUCCCUCCCCCCAAAGAAGCCAGAAAUCAAGCUCCUGUGGGAACCAAACCCAGCAAAUGGAUCCCUGCCCCUGAAGAC
RNAcentral lists this long non-coding RNA (33559 nucleotides) under Sorghum bicolor (sorghum). Its description in RNAcentral is "long non-coding RNA (SBIC_LNC016865)". Lineage: Eukaryota; Viridiplantae; Streptophyta; Magnoliopsida; Poales; Poaceae. The record is from RNAcentral.